UAAAUACUCCCUUCGUCGUAAAUUACUUGUCGUAGAAAUGGAUAGAAGUAGAUGUAUCUAGAACUAAAAUACGUCUAGAUACAUUCCCUUAUGUGACAAAUAAUUUGGGAUGGAGGGAGUAAUAA
Triticum aestivum (bread wheat) is the source of this 125-nucleotide non-coding RNA. The record is from Rfam. NCBI's taxonomy places the organism in Eukaryota, Viridiplantae, Streptophyta, Magnoliopsida, Poales, Poaceae.